This is a non-coding RNA of Schistosoma rodhaini, 46 nucleotides long. Lineage: Eukaryota; Metazoa; Platyhelminthes; Trematoda; Strigeidida; Schistosomatidae. The record is from Rfam.
ACCUUGCUGACGAGUCCCAAAUAGGACGAAACACGGGUUCAGGGGU